UUAGUUGCUAACGGUUCGGCCGAGCACUCUAAAUAGACUGCCUUCGUAAGGAGGAGGAAGGUGUGGACGACGUCAAGUCAUCAUGGCCCUUAUGCCCAGGGCGACACACGUGCUACAAUGGCAUAUACAAUGAGACGCAAUACCGCGAGGUGGAGCAAAUCUAUAAAAUAUGUCCCAGUUCGGAUUGUUCUCUGCAACUCGAGAGCAUGAAGCCGGAAUCGCUAGUAAUCGUAGAUCAGCCAUGCUACGGUGAAUACGUUCCCGGGUCUUGUACUCACCGCCCGUCACACCAUGGGAGUUGAUUUCACUCGAAGCCGGAAUACUAAACUAGUUACCGUCCACAGUGGAAUCAGCGACUGGGGUGAAGUCGUAACAAGGUAACCGUAGGAGAACCUGCGGUUGGAUCACCUCCUUUCUAG
Molecule: ribosomal RNA, 419 nt
Filed under: Campylobacter jejuni
Lineage: Bacteria; Pseudomonadati; Campylobacterota; Epsilonproteobacteria; Campylobacterales; Campylobacteraceae
Description: bacterial SSU rRNA
Rfam family: Bacterial small subunit ribosomal RNA
Source: RNAcentral